AUACGUAGGGGGCGAGCGUUGUCCGGAAUGAUUGGGCGUAAAGGGCGCGUAGGCGGCUUGUUAAGUCUGGAGUGGAAGUCCUCUUUUCAAGGGAGGAAUUGCUUUGGAAACUGGCGGGCUUGAGUGCAGGAGAGGUUAUUGGAAUUCCCGGUGUAGCGGUGAAAUGCGUAGAGAUCGGGAGGAACACCAGUGGCGAAGGCGGGUAACUGGACUGCAACUGACGCUGAGGCGCGAAAGUGUGGGGAGCAAACAGGAUUAGAUACCCUGGUAGUCCACACUGUAAACGAUGAGUGCUAGGUGUAGGAGGUAUCGACCCCUUCUGUGCCGGAGUAAACGCAAUAAGCACUCCGCCUGGGGAGUACGGUCGCAAGAUUAAAACUCAAAGGAAUUGACGGGG
This 397-nucleotide ribosomal RNA is filed under the name uncultured bacterium. Its description in RNAcentral is "partial 16S ribosomal RNA". It matches the Rfam family "Bacterial small subunit ribosomal RNA", at positions 523 to 918 of the family's 1533-position model. The record is from RNAcentral.